Molecule: unclassified non-coding RNA, 239 nt
Filed under: Hevea brasiliensis (rubber tree)
Lineage: Eukaryota; Viridiplantae; Streptophyta; Magnoliopsida; Malpighiales; Euphorbiaceae
Source: RNAcentral
UAUUCUGUGGCCUUGUUUUUUUGUGUCCGUGCCAUUUCAGCUUCAAUUUCUUUGAUCUUCUCAAUUAUACCCAUCUUUAAUAUGUAUGAUAGAUACCUGAUUAGGGUUUACUGACGAUAGUACUGCGCCCGCACACUAUCUGUGAGAAGGAGAUGAGAACGAGGACACGAUCUACAGAAACUCCGUUUAGAGUCCGAAAAGGGAGGGGCGAAGAUGGAGAGCUCCGGCGAAGAUGGAGA